UUGAGAGGGUUAGAAGGCAUGGCCUUGUUGGAGGACAUAUAUCACUAGGGUGGGCUCUGAACUUUCAAAAGCACAAGCCAGUCCCUGGGUCUCUCUUUGCCUAUGGAUCAUGAUGCAGUUCUCAGUUACUGCUCCAGUGUCUGCCUGUAUGCGGCCAUGCCUGCACCAUGAUGAUACUGGACUAAACUUCUGAAAUUGCAAGGCUUCUGUGGAUCAAGAGGAGAAAGAUAUCAACCAAGGCCAGCAGAGCAUGCUAGUUCUUAGGCAUCUAUUGCUAUGAAGUCUUCACUCAGAGUACCAGAAACCAAACGGGGAGCUGAGCUCUAUGGGCACCAGCUGCCCCAGCUGCCCACCUGAGCCCAUCAUUCCUGGGGCCCUCGCCAGUGCUCACCAUGCCCAGGGCUCCACAUAAUCCAGCUUCAAGUACAACAGGCCAAGUCUUUAAGUCACCCCUUUUCUAUUCCCUGCCCAUCCUCCCAGGAACUCCUGUACCCACAAGUACAUUUCUUUCUGCUUACUUCUCCA
Molecule: long non-coding RNA, 525 nt
Organism: Apodemus sylvaticus (European woodmouse)
Lineage: Eukaryota; Metazoa; Chordata; Mammalia; Rodentia; Muridae
Exons: 2
Source: RefSeq, a predicted model, not a curated record